CGGUUGUUGCUUCCUCAGAGGAGCCACAAUGAUAUUGUUAUUGGUGUGUAUGACAACGAUCCUGCCAGCAUAGUAUCAUAUGCCCUUAGUUCCAAGGAAUACGAGGAUUGGGUUGCAGGCAAGUCCAAUGAGAAUGAAGGAAGCUGGAGUAUGAAUGAGCAUUGCAAGGAUGAUUUUGCAACUUCCACAUUUUCAGCCUGGCAGUCUUUUGGUUCCGCGGACUUGGAUUAUAUCCGUCACGGAAGUUAUGGGUCCGAAGAUCCUUCAACAUCCAUUGGUACACUGUUUAUGGAUUCCAAAAGGUCUCCGCAUUUAACAAUAACUUAUGCUGAUGAUUCCUCAACUGCUGGAGGCAAAGUAAAGUUUUCUGUCACUUGUUAUUUUGCUAAGCAGUUUGACUC
RNAcentral lists this unclassified non-coding RNA (401 nucleotides) under Hevea brasiliensis (rubber tree). Lineage: Eukaryota; Viridiplantae; Streptophyta; Magnoliopsida; Malpighiales; Euphorbiaceae. The record is from RNAcentral.